GUAGGGAAUUUUCCACAAUGGGCGAAAGCCUGAUGGAGCAAUACCGCGUGCAGGAUGAAGGCCUUCGGGUUGUAAACUGCUUUUAUGUGAGAAGAAUUUGACGGUAACACAUGAAUAAGGAUCGGCUAACUACGUGCCAGCAGCCGCGGUCAUACGUAGGAUCCAAGCGUUAUCCGGAAUUACUGGGCGUAAAGAGUUGCGUAGGUGGCAUUAUAAGUGGAGCGUGAAAGCGUGCGGCUCAACCGCAUUAUUGCGUUCUAAACUGUAAAGCUUGAGUAUGGGAGAGGUAGAUGGAAUUUCUAGUGUAGGAGUGAAAUCCGUAGAUAUUAGAAGGAACACCGAUGGCGUAGGCAGUCUACUGGCCCAUUACUGACACUAAGGCACGAAAGCGUGGGUAGCAAACGGGAUUAGAUACCCCAGUAGUCC
This 426-nucleotide ribosomal RNA is filed under the name uncultured bacterium. RNAcentral's name for it is "bacterial SSU rRNA". It matches the Rfam family "Bacterial small subunit ribosomal RNA", at positions 354 to 796 of the family's 1533-position model. The record is from RNAcentral.